Molecule: long non-coding RNA, 176 nt
Filed under: Sus scrofa (pig)
Lineage: Eukaryota; Metazoa; Chordata; Mammalia; Artiodactyla; Suidae
Description: lncRNA (ENSSSCG00025026403.1)
Source: RNAcentral
CAAAGGGUUAAGUAGCUCAAGAACAUUUUGUAUUGGAUACUGAGCCAGAAUGCUCCAGGCUCCUAUCCCUUUGGAAUUGUGUGAACCUGUCACUCCUAAGCCUCAGCUAGUGAAUCCUGUUCAAUGUGCAUGAGAGGGUUGGAGCAGGUGGCCUAGUGAAGUCUUCCAGUCUGUCU